CGACCACCGUCGUCCUUUACCGAAGCCUCAGCCGCCGGUAAUCCUCCCUCUCCUUCUCUCUCUUUCGUUCUCUUAAACUCCUUGGUCUUGGUUGCACACCCAUUAAUAGUUACUCUGUUUUUGUUCUCGCUCAGCCUCCGCGCCACCGCAGUAUCACCGCCCAGUCAUUGCUGCGCCGCCGCGUCCUUCGCCCACACCAGAAACCUCUCCUCUCCCUUCUUUCUCCUCCACGCACGCAACGACAUUCCCUUCUCUCGUUGCUUCUUUCUUCCUGCCCCACAAACUCAGCCGUCGCUGCACGGCCACCGCAACCACCAGCAGCGUCACUCAGCCGCUGCACCACCUGCCCGCUUGUUGCCGCACCACCUUGUCCACCGGCAGCUUCUUGUUUUCUCUCUUUGGUGGAGAAUUCUCCGUAGGCGACUUUUGAAUUAUUAAAGUGGUCUUGCAGUUUGUUUACACAAGUCUCUAAGGAUCAAUAAGCAUUGUCCAUCUGCAGGUUUGAAGAUGUUGCAUCAUUGGGAUCGGGAAUAGAGAGCUUGUAUUUAGUUUUGAUUUGCUAAGUUAACUUGGGUUUGUUAAUUGGGACUUUAAACUUGUCGUACUAUUUAUAUUUCCUUAUUUUCGUUGGUUGAUUUUUGGGGACUAAAUCUGUAAUCGAUUAUUUAUAAACCUAAAGUUAGUUUUAUGUUUUCCGCUGCAAAAUUCUGAAUAAGCCGUUACGUUUUCACA
Molecule: long non-coding RNA, 732 nt
Organism: Spinacia oleracea (spinach)
Lineage: Eukaryota; Viridiplantae; Streptophyta; Magnoliopsida; Caryophyllales; Amaranthaceae
Exons: 3
Source: RefSeq, a predicted model, not a curated record